GUUAGGAUCUCGGGGUCCAUUUCAGUUUGGAAAGCAUUUAGGGGGGGUGUUCUUGUGAGACACUAGCUGCUGCCCCGAGGAGUCCUCUCUUCUUCAGGGUCUUUACCCCCCAGCUUUGGGGUGGCUGCCCAGCUCCCUUUGUGACCUGUGGUUGCCCAUCUCCUUCCUGCUCCCCUGAGGUCCUGGUGGGGGCAGGCAGGCCCACUUGGCACAGGUUGAGUUUCAAUAUACCUGCAGCUCCAGGAACAGAGUGGGGCCCGAGCUGGGCUGCUCCAUGUGGCCAAGGAGAAGUCCUUUGCCAGACCCUGAGCUGGGGUCCUCCAUGCUCAGGAAUUGCCAUGGCCUGGCAUCUGGGCACUGACCCCUCCUGGUGGGGUUACAGGGCAUGCGCAGCAUUUCCUGAGUAGGGCUGAGUAGGGUCUCCCCAGAAGUCACAUCCAUCUGAAGCCUCAGAACGUGACUUUAUCUGGAGUCUGCAGAUUAAGCAUAAUCAGUCAUUUGGUGGAAGAAGUUUAACAGCAGAAGAGAAAAGGGAUUCCUCUUGCGUGACUUCGAUUCUCUGGGAGGUGCUGAGGCUUGUGCGUGACGGGCCAUGCCAUGGUAUGUGUGGUGGAUGCCCCGUGUCCCCGAGGGGCAGGUGUUCUACACACAGUGCCGACUGGGGAAUUCUGUGGCUAUGCACGCAGUCAUUUCCAUCCAAAUCUACAUCUGUACUGGCUGUGUCUCAUCGUCCCUCCGGACAGCAUAGAAGGACCACAGAGAUGGCAGGUCCCCGUGUGAACAUGCUCUAGUUGUGGGUUCAGGAGGCGUCCUUGGAGAUGGGGUGGGAGAGGUGAUCCUGGAUCAGCCGCUGAGCUCUAAUCCUAAUGACAAGAGUCCUUGUGGUAGAGACGCUGUGGGAUAUUUGACACAAAAGGAAGAAUUUGUGUGGGGAGAGGUUUGAAGGGGCUUUGCUCCUGAAGUAGGAGGGAGGGACAUGAAGCAGGAGCAGCCUGCUGCCCUAGAUGGAGGUAAGGAACCGGGUCCCUUCCAAGAGCCUCUGCAGCGAGCGUGGGCCUGCUGGCACCUUGGUUUUAGCCCAGUGAGACUGACCUGGGACUUCUGACCUCCAGAGCUGGGAGAGGCCCGUUUGUG
RNAcentral lists this long non-coding RNA (1134 nucleotides) under Vulpes vulpes (red fox). Its description in RNAcentral is "lncRNA (ENSVVUG00000027242.1)". The record is from RNAcentral. Lineage: Eukaryota; Metazoa; Chordata; Mammalia; Carnivora; Canidae.